This 649-nucleotide ribosomal RNA is filed under the name Escherichia coli O157:H7. RNAcentral's name for it is "partial 23S ribosomal RNA". It matches the Rfam family "Bacterial large subunit ribosomal RNA", at positions 2209 to 2852 of the family's 2925-position model. Lineage: Bacteria; Pseudomonadati; Pseudomonadota; Gammaproteobacteria; Enterobacterales; Enterobacteriaceae. The record is from RNAcentral.
AAUGUUUGAUGUUCUAACGUGGACCCGUAAUCCGGGUUGCGGACAGUGUCUGGUGGGUAGUUUGACUGGGGCGGUCUCCUCCUAAAGAGUAACGGAGGAGCACGAAGGUUGGCUAAUCCUGGUCGGACAUCAGGAGGUUAGUGCAAUGGCAUAAGCCAGCUUGACUGCGAGCGUGACGGCGCGAGCAGGUGCGAAAGCAGGUCAUAGUGAUCCGGUGGUUCUGAAUGGAAGGGCCAUCGCUCAACGGAUAAAAGGUACUCCGGGGAUAACAGGCUGAUACCGCCCAAGAGUUCAUAUCGACGGCGGUGUUUGGCACCUCGAUGUCGGCUCAUCACAUCCUGGGGCUGAAGUAGGUCCCAAGGGUAUGGCUGUUCGCCAUUUAAAGUGGUACGCGAGCUGGGUUUAGAACGUCGUGAGACAGUUCGGUCCCUAUCUGCCGUGGGCGCUGGAGAACUGAGGGGGGCUGCUCCUAGUACGAGAGGACCGGAGUGGACGCAUCACUGGUGUUCGGGUUGUCAUGCCAAUGGCACUGCCCGGUAGCUAAAUGCGGAAGAGAUAAGUGCUGAAAGCAUCUAAGCACGAAACUUGCCCCGAGAUGAGUUCUCCCUGACCCUUUAAGGGUCCUGAAGGAACGUUGAAGACGACGACG